This 456-nucleotide ribosomal RNA is filed under the name Dendropsophus aff. minutus. RNAcentral describes it as "partial 16S ribosomal RNA". It matches the Rfam family "Bacterial large subunit ribosomal RNA", at positions 1819 to 2484 of the family's 2925-position model. The record is from RNAcentral. Lineage: Eukaryota; Metazoa; Chordata; Amphibia; Anura; Hylidae.
CGCCUCUUGAAACUACAUAAGAGGUCCAGCCUGCCCAGUGACUAAGUUCAACGGCCGCGGUAUCCUAACCGUGCGAAGGUAGCGUAAUCACUUGUUCUUUAAAUGAGGACUAGUAUGAAUGGCACCACGAGGGUUAUGCUGUCUCCUUUUUCUAAUCAAUGAAACUGAUCUCCCCGUGAAGAAGCGGGGAUAUACCCAUAAGACGAGAAGACCCUAUGGAGCUUUAAACCAUGUAACACUGGCUUUAACAUUAAAAUAUUCCAGAAUUUUCAUAACUACUCUAGCUAUUAUGAUUACUAGUUUUAGGUUGGGGUGACCGCGGAGCAAAAAUUAACCUCCAUGUUGAACGGAGCUACUCCUGAGCCAAAAGCCACGACUUUAAGCACUAAUAAAUUAACAUCAAUUGACCCAAUAUUUUUGAUCAACGAACCAAGUUACCCUAGGGAUAACAGCGCA